CUUCCCAGCAAACAAACCAGACACCAUAGCUGUGCCAAAAAGUCCCUCCCAUAGGUGUAAGGGAAGGGCAGGGCAGACUGAAGGGCACGGACAGAAGUUGCAAAAGUUGCAGGGGUCAGUGGAAUCUGCUGCCAAGAUCUGAUUUUGUGACACAGCGCAAAUUUCUUAUCAAAGCCAUUCCUGCCAUCCCUCCACAAGUUUGGGCUACCGAGCAAACGAAAAGCAGGAUGGUUGCUUCUUCUCUGCAGGGGGUGAACAAGUCUCAGUUUCAGGGGAUAUUAUCCUCACUGGACAGGGAGGAUUAGACAGUCUGCACUUCCAUGCUGACCGGCAAGCUCCAGCUACUGCUACUCCUGGCAACUCAUGGUUGAUUUGCCUUGGAUUUGAAGCAACUGUUGUCAAGAACUUAAACCUCAAGAGGUGAAUGGCAGGCCUCCCUAAGUUAUCUUCCCUUUUCCCAGCUGCCCUGUCUCUUCCUGCUUCUUUAAACCCAGCCAAGGAAUGAAUAUUAUUUUCUAAUGACUGAAAGAAGGCACAUAAGAGGCAGGUCUUCAGAUUAAGAAUCCAAGACUUGAUUGCAGCUCUUAUCAUACUUCUUUUCCAUUUUUUCCCUCUUCUUCCCACCAGAAAAUAAAUUGCUUCAAUAAAUUAUGUCUUUGAUCUGCAUAGGGGACCAGCAGCCUGGGCUCUCA
Molecule: long non-coding RNA, 692 nt
Filed under: Pavo cristatus (Indian peafowl)
Lineage: Eukaryota; Metazoa; Chordata; Aves; Galliformes; Phasianidae
Description: lncRNA (ENSPSTG00000004613.1)
Source: RNAcentral